Peromyscus californicus insignis is the source of this 3470-nucleotide long non-coding RNA. RefSeq lists it as uncharacterized. Lineage: Eukaryota; Metazoa; Chordata; Mammalia; Rodentia; Cricetidae. The transcript is spliced from 5 exons. The record is from RefSeq and is a predicted model, not a curated record.
UCAUGUGCUGUUAAUUGUUUCUAGAUCAUGGGGAGAAAGAAAGAGGCACAGAACCAGAGAAAGCUUUCUCCUCACAUGGCUGGAUCACAUGAUGGCUGGAUCACAUGAGAUGCAGCUUUUCUGUUAAAAGGCGUUCCAGAGAAAAAGGUCUGUGACUGAGGCUAGGGAAGGGAGACAGUCUCAAAGAGCCAAGGAUGUGUGUGGUACAGAGCACAUCUACAGAUCAGAGGACAAACUUGGGAAGUCCAGUUCUCUCCUACUACGUGGUUCUGAGGAUCAAACUCAAGUUGUCAAACUUGGUAGCAAUUACCUUUACUCACUGAGCCAUCUUGCCUGCCCCAUGUUAUAUGUGUGACAGCUUUCAGGCUUUCGAGAAGCAGUUCAGCUGAGAUUCACUCUGGAUGAGGACUCAGAGGCUUCCAGUCUGAGGAAACAGGAUCAGCUGAGGAAUUGGCAAGGUGGUAAAAGAAGUGCUUCAGACAUGGACAUCUAUCCCAGGAGCCUCUGAUGUUAGCCACAAAUGAGAAACCCACAACUUCAAAGUCAAUAUCUGGCCAACACAGAAGCAGUGAGUACCUUCCACUCCAGGUCAAAGUUUGGAAAUGACAUCUUCCAUCAAAAGGAGCCACACUACUCAAUGAAGUGGCAAUUAACGGUCUGAAGCAGCAAAUGGAGAAAAGGAGCCAGGAGUGUCUAUCAGGCAUGGUGAGGAAGCUAUCAGAGAUGCUAGGGCCGUUUCAAAGGACUCCAGGACCACCUUACAGAGGCCAAAGAUGUGAUCAUUUGACUAUUAGUACAACGGUAGAAUGGAACACAUCAAAUAUGUUUAAAUCUGUGAGCUCGUAGUGCUAAAAAUAAUAGUCAUGUUCAGAGGAUGAUGGGUAAACAAUUCAUUACUCAGCUGGAAACUGGCACUAAAGGACCAGUGUCUCUAGGCUUUGAGAAGAACUGAUUGCUAACACAAGAACACCACAGAUGACCAAGCAAUCUGUGCCUCCUGAUGGCCAAAAAAGAAUGUACCCUCACUCAUGAAGAAUUGCCUAAAAUAAGCAAAUAACUUGAAUAGCACAAAGCUUUUCAUUCCAACUUCCAAUGUCAGAAAAUUUACAGGAACGAGGAACAUCUCAUACCAUGCUGGUGGCAUGCAAACAGCAGAGAACCAGAGAAAUGCGGCAAGUGGCCUGAUCUCUUCAGGAAAGAAUUCCUAGCACGGGAGAAGAUGUGCAGAUCAAACAAGAUCUUAAAGACAUACUAACCAACUGCAGCAUCGAGAACCAAACAUGAAAUUGUAAAUAAAAAUGGACUGCUUGAAUAUCAAUUAUGCAUUUGACGAUACUAAAGACUUGUUAACUUUUUGGGCCUCAUAAUGUGGUUAUUUUAAAAAUUACCUUUAAAAAUGUAAGUGUGAGUGUGUGUGUGUGUGUGUGUGUGUGUGUGUGUGUGUGUGUGUGUGUGUACACUUGCAGAGGCCAGAGGUGUCAGAUUCCUUGGAGCUCUAGCUACAAGUGGUUGUGAGCCACCUGACAUGGGUGCUGGGAAUCAAACUUGGGUCCUCUGCAAGAGCAGCGUAUGUUCUUAAAAUCUGAGCUGUAUCUCCAGACAAAAUGUUAUUUUAAAAAGCUUUUCCUCUACUGAUAAAAUUAUGUUUCCUAAGAUUUGCUUUAGAUAAGAUGCUACAUGAUAGGAGGUAGGGAUGGACUAGAUUGAUCGUGACUGACGUUGGAUGACGGUGCACAGAGGUUGUCACUUCUUUUUCCCCACUGCUGUGCUAGGUUGAUAAUUGUCAUGUACAUUCUUAAAUUAAAUGCUGACAUUUGUAUUGUACAAAGUAUACACUGAUCCUAACCUACAAAUUCAUGGGUUAAUUUGGUCCAAAAUACUUAGAAAAAGAUUGAUUAUACUAUAAUAUUUUUUCUUUUCUUACUAUUUUUGCAUUUUUCAGCAGGGUCUUAUUCUGUAGCACUGGAUGGCCUGGAACUUGUUAUAUAGAAUAGACUGGCUUCAAGCUUAUAGCAAUCUUUCUGCCUCUGCCUCUGCUUCCCAAGUAUUGAGAUCACAGACACUCGCCACCACAUCCAGCCUAUCGCCUUUUUAUAUCACCCACUGCAUAUAGUUAUAUUCUUUACAGGUAUCCAGAGGCAUGGAAAAGAUAGCUUUGAGCAGCUAUUACUAAAAUAAACUAUUACAAUCUUGAUUAAAAAAUAGGAAGACAAAGCCAGAGUACUAUGUCAAGAAAUAUCAGCAAUAAUUUGUAACGAGUCAUUAGAUAUUGUUUGUAUAGAUUCACUUACACUAGUAAGUACAAAUUGGUAAAUUCUCCUUAAAUAUUCACCAGUGUCACAAACAUCUACUGAAUGCCUACUCUGUGCUAAAUGUUAGGAGCCAUAACAGGAGAUGAGAUUCAGGAAAAGAUGAAAAUGGGCUUUGGCUCCAUGCUAAGAUUAAUAUGUCUAGGAUGGUGAGGCUGGGGGUUGUCCUUUGACAAGAUAUGUUGGGGAAAGAGAUUAGAGGAAGGGCCUCUCACAAAAGUAAAGGACGAAGCAUAAGGUGGGUGAGAGGCAGCACCUCAUGCGCCUACUUGUCAGAUUGGGCCCAUGUUGCUGGGGACUCUCGUUUUCAUGGUCAAACUUCCUGAGAAGGAUUCAGAAAUUCUGCUCUGGCUGCUACCUGUGUUCCAGAAUGCACCCAGAUGUUCCUCUGCAUUAUGGAUUGUGUCUCAAAUUGAGCAUGUCAAAAACCGAUCUCAUUUUCUCUCCUCAAAACCUAUUCCUUCUCUCACAUUCCCAAUGGCCACAGAAAUGUCCAAGAGCCAAGUCCUCAAGGCCCUGCUGCUCUGGCCUUGGCUCAAGCCUCGUCAAGAGAGAGCAGCAGUGACAUUCAGUCUGCUCCCCACCUCUAGCUUCUCGUUCCCUGUUUUCUCUCUUGCUGUCAGAGUACUGGGGCUCUAAAACUCCCCUCAGACAUGUCCUCAGUGCUCAUCACAAAUGCCAAAGACCAGGCUUUCCUGUGAAAUUCUGAUUUCUUGAGUCUUGGGUGAGACCAGGGAAUUUAUGUUUUAAGAAGGACCCUGCGUUAUUAUCUUUGGGAAGUGCGAAAAGCACCGUUUUGAAAUGCAUCCCUGCUACAUCCUUGCAGCGCCACCAUGUAGCAGUGUGUUGUACAAGUCAUAGAAAGGUGAUGGCUGGUGAAAAGUAUAGUUUACAUUGCAAAUCCAGGCACACAUGCUUAUAUGUACAUUAAAAGAAACACAAUGUCCACAAAACAUUUCUGAGCUGGGCGAUGGUGGUGCACACCUUUAAUCCUAGCACUCAGGAGGCAGAGGCAGGCAGAUCUCUGAGUUCAAGGCCAGCCCGGUCUACAGAUUGAGUUCCUGAACAGCCAGGAUUACACAGAGAAGUCUUGUCUCGAAAAACUAAAAUAAAUAGAUAGAUAGAUAGAUAGAUAGAUAGAUAGAUAGAUAGAUAGAUAGA